Molecule: long non-coding RNA, 525 nt
Filed under: Numida meleagris (helmeted guineafowl)
Lineage: Eukaryota; Metazoa; Chordata; Aves; Galliformes; Numididae
Description: lncRNA (ENSNMEG00000015507.1)
Source: RNAcentral
CUUGUCGAUCCUUAAAUAUAGUCGGUUGAUAUUGAAAAUGUCAGGGUUGGAAAUUUAACAGCAGUUGAUCGGUUGGCCAAGAAACGUGGAAAACAAGGUUUGUAUUUUAACAGUGUUAAGUGAUACAGCAGGAGACUAUCAAACUGCCUGCUGUCGUGUAGAAUAAGUGUGCUGCCAGCAGAUGGCAGCAGAAUGGAAAAAUAAGCACAUAGAGAUGAGAUAGCGGACAAAAGAACUCAGAUCUCUAGCAGCUUAGUUUCACUAGCUGUUUUUGACUGUGCAAGCUUCUCCAUCUAGGGGCAGUGAGGCCUGGUCAGUAAAGUAGAUGACCUGGUUCUGAGCCUGCCAAUGUCUGCUGUGGUUCUGCUGAAGUUUGGUUUCACAAAGACAAAAAGGUACCACUUCUUUCUCCUUAAGGAAAAAGAACGGAAACAAGAGUUGCGUCAAACACUGGGCGAAAAGACUACCAAGAAAAAAAACAGUCAUUUUAUGAGCAGCGUGCUGUGUGAGUCUACAAAGGAAUAA